Molecule: ribosomal RNA, 95 nt
Filed under: Serratia marcescens
Lineage: Bacteria; Pseudomonadati; Pseudomonadota; Gammaproteobacteria; Enterobacterales; Yersiniaceae
Source: RNAcentral
CUUGGCGGCAAUAGCGCGGUGGUCCCACCUGACCCCAUGCCGAACUCAGAAGUGAAACGCCGUAGCGCCGAUGGUAGUGUGGGGUCUCCCCAUGC